UACGUAGGUGGCAAGCGUUGUCCGGAUUUAUUGGGUGUAAAGGGUGCGUAGGCGGCCCUGUAAGUCAGUGCUGAAAUAUCCCAGCUUAACUGGGAGGGUGGCAUUGAUACUGCGGGGCUAGAGUACAGAUGAGGUAGGCGGAAUUGACGGUGUAGCGGUGAAAUGCUUAGAUAUCGUCAAGAACACCUAUAGCGAAGGCAGCUUACUAGGCUGUAACUGACGCUGAGGCACGAAAGUGUGGGGAUCAAACAGG
RNAcentral lists this ribosomal RNA (253 nucleotides) under uncultured bacterium. RNAcentral describes it as "partial 16S ribosomal RNA". It matches the Rfam family "Bacterial small subunit ribosomal RNA", at positions 524 to 776 of the family's 1533-position model. The record is from RNAcentral.